GGGGAUGUAGCUCACAGGUAGAGCACUUUCCUAGCAUGUGUGAGGCCUGGGUUCAAUCCCCAGUACCCCCU
This 71-nucleotide transfer RNA is filed under the name Marmota monax (woodchuck). It matches the Rfam family "tRNA". Rfam says of the family: Transfer RNA (tRNA) molecules are approximately 80 nucleotides in length. Their secondary structure includes four short double-helical elements and three loops (D, anti-codon, and T loops). Further hydrogen bonds mediate the characteristic L-shaped molecular structure. tRNAs have two regions of fundamental functional importance: the anti-codon, which is responsible for specific mRNA codon recognition, and the 3' end, to which the tRNAs corresponding amino acid is attached (by aminoacyl-tRNA synthetases). tRNAs cope with the degeneracy of the genetic code in two manners: having more than one tRNA (with a specific anti-codon) for a particular amino acid; and 'wobble' base-pairing, i.e. permitting non-standard base-pairing at the 3rd anti-codon position. Lineage: Eukaryota; Metazoa; Chordata; Mammalia; Rodentia; Sciuridae. The record is from Rfam by way of RNAcentral.